This is a long non-coding RNA of Sebastes umbrosus (honeycomb rockfish), 177 nucleotides long. RefSeq lists it as uncharacterized. Lineage: Eukaryota; Metazoa; Chordata; Actinopteri; Perciformes; Sebastidae. The transcript is spliced from 3 exons. The record is from RefSeq and is a predicted model, not a curated record.
CAUGGGCCAACCUUCGCUCCCCACGUGCAUCAAUGAGCCUUGGCGGCCUCUGACCUUGUCGCCGGUUCACUGGUUUUCCUUCCUUGGACCACUUUUGGUAGGUCCUGACCACUGCAGACCGGGAACAUCCCACAAGAGCUGCAGUUCUGGAGAUGAUCUGACCCGGUCGUCUAGCCA